AAAUGAGUAGUUAUUGUUGCAAACUCCAUUAGAAAUUUGGAUUGAGAUCAGUUUUGGAAUAAGGGAAAGGGAGAUGUGAAAAAAAAAUUGGGGGGGGAAGGGGGGGGGGUCAAUUUUUCUCAUUUCAGAUUUCAUGAAUAAAAAGAAAAUUUCUUCAAACAUAUUUUUGAGAGGAUUUAUAUUCAACAGCAUAGUGAAUUGCUCAAAGGCAAAAAACAAAUUUUAAGUUUAUUAGACCACAUUCAUUCUGUGUCAGAAACCUAUGCUGUGUCAACUAUUUAAUCACAAUCCAAAUUUAGAGCUGAAUCCAGCUUGAAUGUUGUGUCCAUACUUGCCCCAAC
Molecule: long non-coding RNA, 341 nt
Filed under: Mytilus galloprovincialis (Mediterranean mussel)
Lineage: Eukaryota; Metazoa; Mollusca; Bivalvia; Mytilida; Mytilidae
Source: RNAcentral